RNAcentral lists this ribosomal RNA (433 nucleotides) under uncultured bacterium. RNAcentral's name for it is "partial 16S ribosomal RNA". It matches the Rfam family "Bacterial small subunit ribosomal RNA", at positions 29 to 507 of the family's 1533-position model. The record is from RNAcentral.
AACGAACGCUGGCGGCAUGCCUAACACAUGCAAGUCGAACGAGACCUUCGGGUCUAGUGGCGCACGGGUGCGUAACGCGUGGGAACCUGCCCUUAGGUUCGGAAUAACUCCCCGAAAGGGGUGCUAAUACCGGAUAAUGUCUUCGGACCAAAGAUUUAUCGCGUUUGGAUGGGCCCGCGUUGGAUUAGCUAGUUGGUAGGGUAAAAGCCUACCAAGGCGACGAUCCAUAGCUGGUCUGAGAGGAUGAUCAGCCACACUGGGACUGAGACACGGCCCAGACUCCUACGGGAGGCAGCAGUGGGGAAUAUUGGACAAUGGGCGAAGGCCUGAUCCAGCAAUGCCGCGUGAGUGAUGAAGGCCUUAGGGUUGUAAAGCUCUUUUACCCGGGAUGAUAAUGACAGUACCGGGAGAAUAAGCUCCGGCUAACUCCGUG